This 221-nucleotide ribosomal RNA is filed under the name uncultured bacterium. RNAcentral describes it as "partial 16S ribosomal RNA". It matches the Rfam family "Bacterial small subunit ribosomal RNA", at positions 96 to 334 of the family's 1533-position model. The record is from RNAcentral.
CGGCAGACGGGUGAGUAACGCGUGGGAACGUACCCUUUGGUUCGGAACAACACAGGGAAACUUGUGCUAAUACCGGAUAAGCCCUUACGGGGAAAGAUUUAUCGCCGAAGGAUCGGCCCGCGUCUGAUUAGCUAGUUGGUGAGGUAAUGGCUCACCAAGGCGACGAUCAGUAGCUGGUCUGAGAGGAUGAUCAGCCACACUGGGACUGAGACACGGCCCAG